CCUACGGGGGGCUGCAGUGGGGAAUAUUGGACAAUGGGCGAAAGCCUGAUCCAGCCAUGCCGCGUGUGUGAAGAAGGCCUUCGGGUUGUAAAGCACUUUCAGUGGGGAAGAAAGCCUUGGGGCUAAUACCCUCGAGGAAGGACAUCACCCACAGAAGAAGCACCGGCUAACUCCGUGCCAGCAGCCGCGGUAAUACGGAGGGUGCGAGCGUUAAUCGGAAUUACUGGGCGUAAAGCGCGCGUAGGCGGUCUGAUAAGCCGGUUGUGAAAGCCCCGGGCUCAACCUGGGAACGGCAUCCGGAACUGUCAGGCUAGAGUGCAGGAGAGGAAGGUAGAAUUCCCGGUGUAGCGGUGAAAUGCGUAGAGAUCGGGAGGAAUACCAGCGGCGAAGGCGGCCUUCUGGACUGACACUGACGCUGAGGUGCGAAAGCGUGGGUAGCAAACAGGAUUAGAUACCCUAGUAGUC
RNAcentral lists this ribosomal RNA (465 nucleotides) under Vreelandella stevensii. Its description in RNAcentral is "partial 16S ribosomal RNA". It matches the Rfam family "Bacterial small subunit ribosomal RNA", at positions 338 to 795 of the family's 1533-position model. Lineage: Bacteria; Pseudomonadati; Pseudomonadota; Gammaproteobacteria; Oceanospirillales; Halomonadaceae. The record is from RNAcentral.